This 497-nucleotide ribosomal RNA is filed under the name uncultured bacterium. RNAcentral's name for it is "partial 16S ribosomal RNA". It matches the Rfam family "Bacterial small subunit ribosomal RNA", at positions 28 to 507 of the family's 1533-position model. The record is from RNAcentral.
GACGAACGCUGGCGGCGUGCCUAAUACAUGCAAGUAGAACGCUGAAGAGAGGAGCUUACUCUUCUUGGAUGAGUUGCGAACGGGUGAGUAACGCGUAGGUAACCUGCCUUGUAGCGGGGGAUAACUAUUGGAAACGAUAGCUAAUACCGCAUAACAAUGGAUGACACAUGUCAUUUAUUUGAAAGGGGCAAUUGCUCCACUACAAGAUGGACCUGCGUUGUAUUAGCUAGUAGGUGAGGUAAUGGCUCACCUAGGCAACGAUACAUAGCCGACCUGAGAGGGUGAUCGGCCACACUGGGACUGAGACACGGCCCAGACUCCUACGGGAGGCAGCAGUAGGGAAUCUUCGGCAAUGGGGGCAACCCUGACCGAGCAACGCCGCGUGAGUGAAGAAGGUUUUCGGAUCGUAAAGCUCUGUUGUAAGUCAAGAACGGGUGUGAGAGUGGAAAGUUCACACUGUGACGGUAGCUUACCAGAAAGGGACGGCUAACUACGUG